RNAcentral lists this ribosomal RNA (249 nucleotides) under Bacillus velezensis. RNAcentral's name for it is "partial 23S ribosomal RNA". It matches the Rfam family "Bacterial large subunit ribosomal RNA", at positions 456 to 706 of the family's 2925-position model. Lineage: Bacteria; Bacillati; Bacillota; Bacilli; Caryophanales; Bacillaceae. The record is from RNAcentral.
UCUCCCAAGGCUAAAUACUCCCUAGUGACCGAUAGUGAACCAGUACCGUGAGGGAAAGGUGAAAAGCACCCCGGAAGGGGAGUGAAAGAGAUCCUGAAACCGUGUGCCUACAAGUAGUCAGAGCCCGUUAACGGGUGAUGGCGUGCCUUUUGUAGAAUGAACCGGCGAGUUACGAUCCCGUGCAAGGUUAAGCAGAAGAUGCGGAGCCGCAGCGAAAGCGAGUCUGAAUAGGGCGAAUUGAGUACGUGG